This 506-nucleotide ribosomal RNA is filed under the name uncultured bacterium. Its description in RNAcentral is "partial 16S ribosomal RNA". It matches the Rfam family "Bacterial small subunit ribosomal RNA", at positions 29 to 523 of the family's 1533-position model. The record is from RNAcentral.
AGUGAACGCUGGCGGUAGGCCUAACACAUGCAAGUCGAACGGCAGCACAGGAGAGCUUGCUCUCUGGGUGGCGAGUGGCGGACGGGUGAGGAAUACAUCGGAAUCUACUCUGUCGGGGGGGAUAACGUAGGGAAACUUACGCUAAUACCGCAUACGACCUACGGGUGAAAGCAGGGGAUCUUCGGACCUUGCGCGAUUGAAUGAGCCGAUGUCGGAUUAGCUAGUUGGCGGGGUAAAGGCACACAAAGGCGACGAUCCGUAGCUGGUAUGAGAGGAUGAUCAGCCACACUGGAACUGAGACACGGUCCAGACUCCUACGGGAGGCAGCAGUGGGGAAUAUUGGACAAUGGGCGCAAGCCUGAUCCAGCCAUACCGCGUGGGUGAAGAAGGCCUUCGGGUUGUAAAGCCCUUUUGUUGGGAAAGAAAUCCAGCUGGCUAAUACCCGGUUGGGAUGACGGUACCCAAAGAAUAAGCACCGGCUAACUUCGUGCCAGCCGCCGCCGUAA